Molecule: transfer RNA, 75 nt
Filed under: Cocculina enigmadonta
Lineage: Eukaryota; Metazoa; Mollusca; Gastropoda; Cocculinidae
Description: tRNA-Met
Source: RNAcentral
AAUAGGGUAAGCUAAGGCAAGCUAUUGGGUUCAUGCCCCGAUUAUGAAGAAAAAUUUUUUAUUCUUUCUCUAUUA